Molecule: long non-coding RNA, 2755 nt
Filed under: Sus scrofa (pig)
Lineage: Eukaryota; Metazoa; Chordata; Mammalia; Artiodactyla; Suidae
Description: lncRNA (ENSSSCG00035056530.1)
Source: RNAcentral
GGCUAGGGGUUGAAUCAGAGCUGUAGCUGCUGGCCUAUGCCACAGCCACAGCAACACCAGAUCUAAGCUGUGUCGGCAACCUACAUCACAGCUCAUGGCAAUGCCAGAUUCUUAACUCACUGAGUGAGGCCAGGGAUCGAACCUGCAUCUUCAUGGGUAUUGGUCAGGUACAUACCCGCUGAGCCACUACAGGAACUCCUUUUUUCUUUUUUUGUGUGCAAAUACUCUUACAUCUCACAAGGGGGGAAAGGGGAGUGGGGUGCAUAUAAGGUGAUGAGCAGAUGAUGUAACUCACGUUAAUAACACAUAAUAUAAAAACAUAUAGAGAAAUAUUUUUACUGUCAAAUAAACUGUUAAUUCCAGUGAUAGAUUAUGUACAUAACAGUAAAACAGGGACAGUGGUUUAUUUGAAAACCUUACUAUUUUGUAUUCUAAAUUGAUUUGAAAGUACAGUAUUUUAUAUUAGUUUAGAUCCUUUAAAAUGUGACUAUUCCCAGCAGCGACCAUUUCCUCACCUAACAAAAUCUUCAGUUUCAGUAAACACUUCCCAUUACAUGCUAAAUUUUACCUCCUACUGAAAAAGCAAUGAUGCUAGGUGACUUUCAUUACCUGUAAUAUCAGAAGAUCAAAAAACAUUCUGGAAAGGCACAAAGACCUAAAUUUCCACUUCCUAUUUCCCAGGUUAAAGCCACACUGACAACAUCAAUUGGAAAUAGAUCUAGAAAUCAAUUAAUAUACUAGAAAGAUUAAACUUGAGCUUUAACUCUAAAUUAAGGUCAAUUACUAGAUAUAAAAAAUUUUAUAGAAGGCAAUAACAGAUUUCUCAAAAUUACCUCUGUCGUGUUUUUAAAUUUCUUGCUCUGAAUUGGAACAUCAUUACCUACAUUCUUACAGGAGAGAGUGAGUUAUUGUUUUUCUUUUGAUCUUAAAUCUUUAAUAAAGGGAUAGUUUGUUCAGGAAAUACACAUUUCGGAGGUUUCUCUUUCUCAUCCUUGAGAAGAGACUUAGAUUAAUUCUUAAGGACUCAGAAAGAAAAGAAGAGCGAUCUCAUCACUGUAUAUGCAGGACACUAAAGGCCUGAUAAAUCACAGGGGGAUUAAUCUGGGUGAUUCAAACUAUUUUAGUGACAGCUAAAGAUAUAUUGGAUAGUGUAUCUACAUCUAUCUAGAUAUAUAGAUAUACACACUAUAUUAUAACACUAUAAAUAUAUAUUCAAAUUAUAUAUGUAUAUAUCCUACAUACACAAUGAAGGGAAGAAAAUUGUGGUGACAGAAAUAGCAAUUUUUUAAUUGCUUUUUUUUAAGCCUUUUAGCAUCAUACCAAACUUUGAGGUAAAUGUGCUCUUGUGGGGCCCCCUCUAUAAACUGAAAAAUGAUUCAUUCCAUUUAUUCUUCUGAUUUAACAACUUAAACAGAAAAAACAAAACAUAUUAAUACAACAAUGAAUGUGCUGUUUUUCUGCAGUGAGUGAAUUUGUGUGUGGAUGUAUUCAAUGUAGUUCAAAAGUAACACUGGUGAGAAAAUAUAAAUUCAUUCUGUAGACACUAAUUAAACAUACUGACUCUUUUUUUUUUUUUUUUUUUUAGGGGAAGAAAGAGGCUUGGAACCUAUAGUGAAUAGAUACAGUGUGUGAGUUCUUCAAAUAGGAAACAACUCACAACCUUGACCUCAAACUGGAGCCCACUGACAUUCUUGUUCUUUUAUGCAAGUCAAGUGCUUUCCCUGGAAGCCUCCAGGUUUGGAGAAGAUUCUCAGAUAUGGAAUGGGAUUUCUGCCACAUUCUACCUGGAUGGCCCUAGGAAAAUAAUUAAGUCAUUCUGGGUCUCAAUGUCUUCAUAUGUAAAAAAUGAACACAAUGAUUCUUAAUGACUAAAGGUCAUUAUGGAGGUUCCAGGUAAUGCAUUAAGUAAAUAUACACUGUAAGCUGCAAAGCUGUCUAAUAAUUUAUUUUUUAAGAAUAUUUACAGCUGAGCCCCUCUAGGCACCAUCUUGUCAGUAACUCUUGGUGAUGCUGAGUGAGAAGGAAGGAUUAACAACUUGAGGCAAACAUAAAUCUCAAGUUUUAUUCCCAGUUGAAUAAUUUUGAAUACCAUUGCAUCUAACAGAGACACAUAGGGCUUCAAAGUUAUCAGGUCUGCCUGCCUCUACUUUCUCAUCCAGUCUUUUUUUGUAUUACUUUGUCAAUUCAAUAAUCUCUUCUGGUGGGUUCUAAACCCAUCACAGUAGUGAUUCUUUUGGUUCUGCCUCCUUUUUUUUAAGAGUUUAAUUUUUUUAUGACAUACAGAUAGCAAUGUAACAAAUCUUAAAAUAUAUAGAUAUAAUGUAGAAAUCAAUCAGCCAUUAGCUCUAAUACUUCAGAUUAUAUCCGAAAAAUGAUUCCUGAAUUUAUCAUCCUACAAGGGAGUCACACAGAGUCUCUCUGAUUCUUAGCAUUCCAUUUUUGUUCAACCUAAAAAAGAUUAGAGAAGGAAAGGAGACUAUACAGCCUAUUAAAUAGCCAGAGGUAAAUGUGUAAAGAAAAAAAAAACUAGAAGGAAAUGAACCAACCUGUUAAAGUCAUAGGAGAGACUGUUUCUGAGCAACUGAAUAGUUCUGUCAACUUGGUUUUUCCAUACUUCCUGAGUUUUCUUCUGUAAUGGACUUUCAUGAAAACAACAACAAAAAAAUCCUACAAACACUUAAAGUAAUUGAUGAGAGGCAGCCCAAGUGUGUGUUCUGUUCUGCAGGCUGCCCACUGCACAAUUCUAGAAGGCUCC